CCUGCGGAAGGAUCAUUACCGAGUGCGGGCCCUCUGGGUCCAACCUCCCAUCCGUGUCUAUCUGUACCCUGUUGCUUCGGCGUGGCCACGGCCCGCCGGAGACUAACAUUUGAACGCUGUCUGAAGUUUGCAGUCUGAGUUUUUAGUUAAACAAUCGUUAAAACUUUCAACAACGGAUCUCUUGGUUCCGGCAUCGAUGAAGAACGCAGCGAAAUGCGAUAAUUAAUGUGAAUUGCAGAAUUCAGUGAAUCAUCGAGUCUUUGAACGCACAUUGCGCCCCCUGGUAUUCCGGGGGGCAUGCCUGUCCGAGCGUCAUUGCUGCCCUCAAGCACGGCUUGUGUGUUGGGCUUCCGUCCCUGGCAACGGGGACGGGCCCAAAAGGCAGUGGCGGCACCAUGUCUGGUCCUCGAGCGUAUGGGGCUUUGUCACCCGCUCCCGUAGGUCCAGCUGGCAGCUAGCCUCGCAACCAAUCUUUUUAACCAGGUUGACCUCGGAUCAGGUAGGGAUACCCGCUGAACUUAAGCAUAUCAAUAAGGCCGGAGGAA
This 545-nucleotide ribosomal RNA is filed under the name Aspergillus ruber. RNAcentral's name for it is "eukaryotic LSU rRNA". The stretch from base 162 to 315 matches the Rfam family "5.8S ribosomal RNA". The record is from RNAcentral. Lineage: Eukaryota; Fungi; Ascomycota; Eurotiomycetes; Eurotiales; Aspergillaceae.